Molecule: non-coding RNA, 30 nt
Filed under: Rattus norvegicus (Norway rat)
Lineage: Eukaryota; Metazoa; Chordata; Mammalia; Rodentia; Muridae
Source: RNAcentral
GUUCAUGUUUGGUGGUGAUAUUUUCUGAGC